This 67-nucleotide transfer RNA is filed under the name Cichlidogyrus casuarinus. RNAcentral's name for it is "tRNA-Ile". Lineage: Eukaryota; Metazoa; Platyhelminthes; Monogenea; Dactylogyridea; Ancyrocephalidae. The record is from RNAcentral.
GCUGAUAGGGCUGCAAUGGCAGGGCAYUUUGAUAUAGUGUUAUUUAAAGUAAUYACUUUCGUCAGUA